GGAAGCUGUUGAUGAAGAUGGCUGGCUCCAUACGGGAGACAUUGGAUUAUGGAUGCCUGGUGGUCGUUUAAAGAUUAUUGACAGGAAGAAGAACAUCUUUAAGUUGGCACAGGGCGAGUACAUUGCACCGGAGAAAAUUGAGAAUGUGUAUGCAAAAUGCAAGUUUGUCGCCCAAUGCUUUGUUUACGGUGAUAGCUUUAAUGCAUCUCUGGUAGCUGUAGUCUCAGUUGAUCUGGAGACCUUGAAAGCGUGGGCUUCUUCUGAAGGCAUUAAGUACAAUGAUCUUACCCAACUCUGCAAUGACCCGAGAGCAAGGGCUGCAGUCUUGGCCGACAUGGAUGCCGUUGGAAGAGAGGCACAGUUGAGAGGUUUCGAAUUUGCA
RNAcentral lists this unclassified non-coding RNA (382 nucleotides) under Hevea brasiliensis (rubber tree). The record is from RNAcentral. Lineage: Eukaryota; Viridiplantae; Streptophyta; Magnoliopsida; Malpighiales; Euphorbiaceae.